RNAcentral lists this ribosomal RNA (253 nucleotides) under uncultured bacterium. Its description in RNAcentral is "partial 16S ribosomal RNA". It matches the Rfam family "Bacterial small subunit ribosomal RNA", at positions 524 to 776 of the family's 1533-position model. The record is from RNAcentral.
UACAGAGGGUGCGAGCGUUAAUCGGAAUUACUGGGCGUAAAGCGCGCGUAGACGGUUUUGUAAGUCAGAUGUGAAAUCCCCGGGCUCAACCUGGGAACUGCAUUUGAUACUGCAUGGCUAGAGUACGGUAGAGGGAAGCGGAAUUUCCGGUGUAGCGGUGAAAUGCGUAGAUAUCGGAAGGAACACCAGUGGCGAAAGCGGCUUCCUGGACCAGUACUGACGUUCACGUGCGAAAGCGUGGGGAGCAAACAGG